RNAcentral lists this ribosomal RNA (252 nucleotides) under uncultured bacterium. RNAcentral describes it as "partial 16S ribosomal RNA". It matches the Rfam family "Bacterial small subunit ribosomal RNA", at positions 524 to 776 of the family's 1533-position model. The record is from RNAcentral.
UACGUAGGGGCGAGCGUUGUCCGGAUUUAUUGGGCGUAAAGCGCUCGCAGGCGGUCCGAUGCGUCGUGCGUGAAAGCCCCCGGCUCAACUGGGGAGGGUCGUGCGAUACGGUCGGACUUGAGGCCAGUAGGGGGAUGCGGAAUUCCGGGUGUAGUGGUGGAAUGCGUAGAGAUCCGGAGGAACACCAGCGGCGAAGGCGGCAUCCUGGACCGGUAUUGACGCUGAGGCGCGAAAGCUAGGGUAGCAAACGGG